UUAAGCGACUAAGCGUACACGGUGGAUGCCCUGGCAGUCAGAGGCGAUGAAGGACGUGCUAAUCUGCGAAAAGCGUCGGUAAGGUGAUAUGAACCGUUAUAACCGGCGAUGUCCGAAUGGGGAAACCCAGUGCAAUUCGUUGCACUAUCGUUAACUGAAUACAUAGGUUAACGAGGCGAACCGGGGGAACUGAAACAUCUAAGUACCCCGAGGAAAAGAAAUCAACCGAGAUUCCCCCAGUAGCGGCGAGCGAACGGGGAGCAGCCCAGAGUCUGAAUCAGCUUGUGUGUUAGUGGAACGGUCUGGAAAGUCCGACGGUACAGGGUGAUAGUCCCGUACACCAAAAUGCACAGGUUGUGAACUCGAAGAGUAGGGCGGGACACGUGGUAUCCUGUCUGAAUAUGGGGGGACCAUCCUCCAAGGCUAAAUACUCCUGACUGACCGAUAGUGAACCAGUACCGUGAGGGAAAGGCGAAAAGAACCCCGGCGAGGGGAGUGAAAAAGAACCUGAAACCGUGUACGUACAAGCAGUGGGAGCACCUUCGGGUGUGACUGCGUACCUUUUGUAUAAUGGGUCAGCGACUUAUAUUCUGUAGCAAGGUUAACCGUAUAGGGGAGCCGCAGGGAAACCGAGUCUUAACUGGGCGUUAAGUUGCAGGGUAUAGACCCGAAACCCGGUGAUCUAGCCAUGGGCAGGUUGAAGGUUGGGUAACACUAACUGGAGGACCGAACCGACUAAUGUUGAAAAAUUAGCGGAUGACUUGUGGCUGGGGGUGAAAGGCCAAUCAAACCGGGAGAUAGCUGGUUCUCCCCGAAAGCUAUUUAGGUAGCGCCUCGUGAAUUCAUCUUCGGGGUAGAGCACUGUUUCGGCUAGGGGGUCAUCCCGACUUACCAACCCGAUGCAAACUACGAAUACCGAAGAAUGUUAUCACGGGAGACACACGGCGGGUGCUAACGUCCGUCGUGAAGAGGGAAACAACCCAGACCGCCAGCUAAGGUCCCAAAGUCAUGGUUAAGUGGGAAACGAUGUGGGAAGGCACAGACAGCCAGGAUGUUGGCUUAGAAGCAGCCAUCAUUUAAAGAAAGCGUAAUAGCUCACUGGUCGAGUCGGCCUGCGCGGAAGAUGUAACGGGGCUAAACCAUGCACCGAAGCUGCGGCAGCGACACUAUGUGUUGUUGGGUAGGGGAGCGUUCUGUAAGCCUGCGAAGGUGUGCUGUGAGGCAUGCUGGAGGUAUCAGAAGUGCGAAUGCUGACAUAAGUAACGAUAAAGCGGGUGAAAAGCCCGCUCGCCGGAAGACCAAGGGUUCCUGUCCAACGUUAAUCGGGGCAGGGUGAGUCGACCCCUAAGGCGAGGCCGAAAGGCGUAGUCGAUGGGAAACAGGUUAAUAUUCCUGUACUUGGUGUUACUGCGAAGGGGGGACGGAGAAGGCUAUGUUAGCCGGGCGACGGUUGUCCCGGUUUAAGCAUGUAGGCUGAUUAUCCAGGCAAAUCCGGAUAAUCAAGGCUGAGGUGUGAUGACGAGGCACUACGGUGCUGAAGUAACAAAUGCCCUGCUUCCAGGAAAAGCCUCUAAGCAUCAGGUAACAUCAAAUCGUACCCCAAACCGACACAGGUGGUCAGGUAGAGAAUACCAAGGCGCUUGAGAGAACUCGGGUGAAGGAACUAGGCAAAAUGGUGCCGUAACUUCGGGAGAAGGCACGCUGGUGUGUAGGUGAAGCCCCUGCGGGUGGAGCUGAGACCAGUCGAAGAUACCAGCUGGCUGCAACUGUUUAUUAAAAACACAGCACUGUGCAAACACGAAAGUGGACGUAUACGGUGUGACGCCUGCCCGGUGCCGGAAGGUUAAUUGAUGGGGUUAUCCGUAAGGAGAAGCUCUUGAUCGAAGCCCCGGUAAACGGCGGCCGUAACUAUAACGGUCCUAAGGUAGCGAAAUUCCUUGUCGGGUAAGUUCCGACCUGCACGAAUGGCGUAAUGAUGGCCAGGCUGUCUCCACCCGAGACUCAGUGAAAUUGAACUCGCUGUGAAGAUGCAGUGUACCCGCGGCAAGACGGAAAGACCCCGUGAACCUUUACUAUAGCUUGACACUGAACAUUGAGCCUUGAUGUGUAGGAUAGGUGGGAGGCUUUGAAGCGUGGACGCCAGUCUGCGUGGAGCCAACCUUGAAAUACCACCCUUUAAUGUUUGAUGUUCUAACGUUGGCCCCUGACCGGGGUUGCGGACAGUGUCUGGUGGGUAGUUUGACUGGGGCGGUCUCCUCCCAAAGCGUAACGGAGGAGCACGAAGGUUAGCUAAUCCUGGUCGGACAUCAGGAGGUUAGUGCAAUGGCAUAAGCUAGCUUGACUGCGAGCGUGACGGCGCGAGCAGGUGCGAAAGCAGGUCAUAGUGAUCCGGUGGUUCUGAAUGGAAGGGCCAUCGCUCAACGGAUAAAAGGUACUCCGGGGAUAACAGGCUGAUACCGCCCAAGAGUUCAUAUCGACGGCGGUGUUUGGCACCUCGAUGUCGGCUCAUCACAUCCUGGGGCUGAAGUAGGUCCCAAGGGUAUGGCUGUUCGCCAUUUAAAGUGGUACGCGAGCUGGGUUUAGAACGUCGUGAGACAGUUCGGUCCCUAUCUGCCGUGGGCGCUGGAGAAUUGAGGGGGGCUGCUCCUAGUACGAGAGGACCGGAGUGGACGCAUCACUGGUGUUCGGGUUGUCAUGCCAAUGGCACUGCCCGGUAGCUAAAUGCGGAAGAGAUAAGUGCUGAAAGCAUCUAAGCACGAAACUUGCCCCGAGAUGAGUUCUCCCUGAGACUUUAAGUCUCCUGAAGGAACGUUGAAGACGACGACGUUGAUAGGCCGGGUGUGUAAGCGCAGCGAUGCGUUGAGCUAACCGGUACUAAUGAACCGUGAGGCUUAACCUU
Molecule: ribosomal RNA, 2899 nt
Filed under: Klebsiella pneumoniae
Lineage: Bacteria; Pseudomonadati; Pseudomonadota; Gammaproteobacteria; Enterobacterales; Enterobacteriaceae
Description: 23S ribosomal RNA
Rfam family: Bacterial large subunit ribosomal RNA
Source: RNAcentral